GGGUUGUGAGGUUAAGCGACUAAGCGUACACGGUGGAUGCCCUGGCAGUCAGAGGCGAUGAAGGACGUGCUAAUCUGCGAUAAGCGUCGGUAAGGUGAUAUGAACCGUUAUAACCGGCGAUUUCCGAAUGGGGAAACCCAGUGUGUUUCGACACACUAUCAUUAACUGAAUCCAUAGGUUAAUGAGGCGAACCGGGGGAACUGAAACAUCUAAGUACCCCGAGGAAAAGAAAUCAACCGAGAUUCCCCCAGUAGCGGCGAGCGAACGGGGAGCAGCCCAGAGCCUGAAUCAGUGUGUGUGUUAGUGGAAGCGUCUGGAAAGGCGCGCGAUACAGGGUGACAGCCCCGUACACAAAAAUGCACAUAUUGUGAGCUCGAUGAGUAGGGCGGGACACGUGGUAUCCUGUCUGAAUAUGGGGGGACCAUCCUCCAAGGCUAAAUACUCCUGACUGACCGAUAGUGAACCAGUACCGUGAGGGAAAGGCGAAAAGAACCCCGGCGAGGGGAGUGAAAAAGAACCUGAAACCGUGUACGUACAAGCAGUGGGAGCACGCUUAGGCGUGUGACUGCGUACCUUUUGUAUAAUGGGUCAGCGACUUAUAUUCUGUAGCAAGGUUAACCGAAUAGGGGAGCCGAAGGGAAACCGAGUCUUAACUGGGCGUUAAGUUGCAGGGUAUAGACCCGAAACCCGGUGAUCUAGCCAUGGGCAGGUUGAAGGUUGGGUAACACUAACUGGAGGACCGAACCGACUAAUGUUGAAAAAUUAGCGGAUGACUUGUGGCUGGGGGUGAAAGGCCAAUCAAACCGGGAGAUAGCUGGUUCUCCCCGAAAGCUAUUUAGGUAGCGCCUCGUGAAUUCAUCUCCGGGGGUAGAGCACUGUUUCGGCAAGGGGGUCAUCCCGACUUACCAACCCGAUGCAAACUGCGAAUACCGGAGAAUGUUAUCACGGGAGACACACGGCGGGUGCUAACGUCCGUCGUGAAGAGGGAAACAACCCAGACCGCCAGCUAAGGUCCCAAAGUCAUGGUUAAGUGGGAAACGAUGUGGGAAGGCCCAGACAGCCAGGAUGUUGGCUUAGAAGCAGCCAUCAUUUAAAGAAAGCGUAAUAGCUCACUGGUCGAGUCGGCCUGCGCGGAAGAUGUAACGGGGCUAAACCAUGCACCGAAGCUGCGGCAGCGACGCUUAUGCGUUGUUGGGUAGGGGAGCGUUCUGUAAGCCUGCGAAGGUGUACUGUGAGGUAUGCUGGAGGUAUCAGAAGUGCGAAUGCUGACAUAAGUAACGAUAAAGCGGGUGAAAAGCCCGCUCGCCGGAAGACCAAGGGUUCCUGUCCAACGUUAAUCGGGGCAGGGUGAGUCGACCCCUAAGGCGAGGCCGAAAGGCGUAGUCGAUGGGAAACAGGUUAAUAUUCCUGUACUUGGUGUUACUGCGAAGGGGGGACGGAGAAGGCUAUGUUGGCCGGGCGACGGUUGUCCCGGUUUAAGCGUGUAGGCUGGUUUUCCAGGCAAAUCCGGAAAAUCAAGGCUGAGGCGUGAUGACGAGGCACUACGGUGCUGAAGCAACAAAUGCCCUGCUUCCAGGAAAAGCCUCUAAGCAUCAGGUAACAUCAAAUCGUACCCCAAACCGACACAGGUGGUCAGGUAGAGAAUACCAAGGCGCUUGAGAGAACUCGGGUGAAGGAACUAGGCAAAAUGGUGCCGUAACUUCGGGAGAAGGCACGCUGAUAUGUAGGUGAAGUCCCUCGCGGAUGGAGCUGAAAUCAGUCGAAGAUACCAGCUGGCUGCAACUGUUUAUUAAAAACACAGCACUGUGCAAACACGAAAGUGGACGUAUACGGUGUGACGCCUGCCCGGUGCCGGAAGGUUAAUUGAUGGGGUCAGCGCAAGCGAAGCUCUUGAUCGAAGCCCCGGUAAACGGCGGCCGUAACUAUAACGGUCCUAAGGUAGCGAAAUUCCUUGUCGGGUAAGUUCCGACCUGCACGAAUGGCGUAAUGAUGGCCAGGCUGUCUCCACCCGAGACUCAGUGAAAUUGAACUCGCUGUGAAGAUGCAGUGUACCCGCGGCAAGACGGAAAGACCCCGUGAACCUUUACUAUAGCUUGACACUGAACAUUGAGCCUUGAUGUGUAGGAUAGGUGGGAGGCUUUGAAGUGUGGACGCCAGUCUGCAUGGAGCCGACCUUGAAAUACCACCCUUUAAUGUUUGAUGUUCUAACGUUGACCCGUGAUCCGGGUUGCGGACAGUGUCUGGUGGGUAGUUUGACUGGGGCGGUCUCCUCCUAAAGAGUAACGGAGGAGCACGAAGGUUGGCUAAUCCUGGUCGGACAUCAGGAGGUUAGUGCAAUGGCAUAAGCCAGCUUGACUGCGAGCGUGACGGCGCGAGCAGGUGCGAAAGCAGGUCAUAGUGAUCCGGUGGUUCUGAAUGGAAGGGCCAUCGCUCAACGGAUAAAAGGUACUCCGGGGAUAACAGGCUGAUACCGCCCAAGAGUUCAUAUCGACGGCGGUGUUUGGCACCUCGAUGUCGGCUCAUCACAUCCUGGGGCUGAAGUAGGUCCCAAGGGUAUGGCUGUUCGCCAUUUAAAGUGGUACGCGAGCUGGGUUUAGAACGUCGUGAGACAGUUCGGUCCCUAUCUGCCGUGGGCGCUGGAGAACUGAGGGGGGCUGCUCCUAGUACGAGAGGACCGGAGUGGACGCAUCACUGGUGUUCGGGUUGUCAUGCCAAUGGCACUGCCCGGUAGCUAAAUGCGGAAGAGAUAAGUGCUGAAAGCAUCUAAGCACGAAACUUGCCCCGAGAUGAGUUCUCCCUGACCCUUUAAGGGUCCUGAAGGAACGUUGAAGACGACGACGUUGAUAGGCCGGGUGUGUAAGCGCAGCGAUGCGUUGAGCUAACCGGUACUAAUGAACCGUGAGGCUUAACCUUACAACGCCGAAGCUGUU
This 2930-nucleotide ribosomal RNA is filed under the name Escherichia coli. RNAcentral's name for it is "23S ribosomal RNA". It matches the Rfam family "Bacterial large subunit ribosomal RNA". Lineage: Bacteria; Pseudomonadati; Pseudomonadota; Gammaproteobacteria; Enterobacterales; Enterobacteriaceae. The record is from RNAcentral.